AUUGAACGCUGGCGGCAGGCCUAACACAUGCCAGUCGAGCGGAUGAAGGGAGCUUGCUCCUGGAUUCAGCGGCGGACGGGUGAGUAAUGCCUAGGAAUCUGCCUGGCAGUGGGGGCUAACGUCCGGAAACGGGCGCUAAUACCGCAUACGUGCUGAGGGAGAAAGUGGGGGAUCUUCGGACCUCACGCUAUCAGAUGAGCCUAGGUCGGAUUAGCUAGUUGGUGGGGUAAAGGCCUACCAAGGCGACGAUCCGCAACUGGUCUGAGAGGAUGAUCAGUCACACUGGAACUGAGACACGGUCCAGACUCCUACGGGAGGCAGCAGUGGGGAAUAUUGGACAAUGGGCGAAAGCCUGAUCCAGCCAUGCCGCGUGUGUGAAGAAGGUCUUCGGAUUGUAAAGCACUUUUAGUUGGGAGGAAGGGCAGUAAGUUAAUACCUUGCUGUUUUGACGUUACCAACAGAAUAAGCACCGGCUAACUUCGUG
RNAcentral lists this ribosomal RNA (484 nucleotides) under uncultured bacterium. Its description in RNAcentral is "partial 16S ribosomal RNA". It matches the Rfam family "Bacterial small subunit ribosomal RNA", at positions 30 to 507 of the family's 1533-position model. The record is from RNAcentral.